This 1261-nucleotide long non-coding RNA is filed under the name Sus scrofa (pig). RNAcentral's name for it is "lncRNA (ENSSSCG00025040725.1)". Lineage: Eukaryota; Metazoa; Chordata; Mammalia; Artiodactyla; Suidae. The record is from RNAcentral.
AUGGAAAAACUUCUCAGCCACUCAAGUAUCCAGAGAGGGCGAGGUAUCUUCUGUCUCUUCGUGAAGGUUCCAGACAGCCCUGUUUUGGGGAUGAUUACUGUUCCAGUGCAAAGGGCUGCCCUCACAACAGAUGAAGUCAAAAUCUCAAGACUACGUCUCAUUGGUAUGACACAAGUCACAUGUCUGUUCCCAAACCUCUCACAGUGCUUGGGAGAAAAAUAUGCUGAUUAGCGAGGUCUUAGGGGAAUCUUUCUCCACCUCUGAACCCUGUGGACUGGGAGUGAGGAAGAGGAGUUUCCUAAAGACAAGCCUAGGUGAAUUCAUUAGAGGAAUCACAGAUAGAAGCACAGUUACCCACCACUCAUAGGUGCUGGAGAAGUCUGUUUCUCUUCCUAACCUGGGAGUCCUUGGGGGCAGGAAGUUGGGAGAUUCUUCCUGAAGCUACACAUGUAAAAAAUGGGUAGAGGAGUUCCCUGCGUGGCCCAGCAAUUAACAAACCCAACUAAGAUCCAUGAGGAUGUAGGUUCGAUCCCUGGCCUCGCUCAAUGGGUUAAGGAUCUGGCAUUGCCAUGAGCUGUGGUGUGGGUCACAGACACGGCUCGGAUCCUGCAUUGCUCUGUCUGUGGUGCAGGCCGGCAGCCAUAGCUCCAGUUUAGCCCCUAGCCUGGGAACUUCCAUAUGCAUCCGGUGCAGCUUUAAAAAAAAAAAAAAAAAGCAAAAGGGGGGCAGGGGGCAGAAAAAAGAAACCUUCCAGGGACUAGAGCGUCCUUCCUUUCUCAACUGUUUAUUAAACUGUAAGCAUUGGAAGGACAGGGAUGAACACACACAGACAGGCUCCCUGCCUGCCCUGGGGCUCACGGUCUUGUUGGGGAGGCAGAGAGUGAUGGGCGUCUACUAAUCUUUGUAGGAACAGAGAUUCUUCUCUGCAGCUGAGAACACUCGACAUGAUCAGAGAGUAGUACAGUAACCCUCACAUCUUCCUCAUAAAACCCUUCUAGGAGUUCCUAUCGUGGCUCAGCGGUUAACAAACCUGACUAGGAUCCAUGAGGACGUGGGUUCGAUCCCUGGCCUCAUUCAGUGGGUUAAGGAUCUGGCAUUGCUGUGAGCUGUGGUGUAGGUCGCAGACAUGGCUUAGACCUGGCGUGGCUGUGGCUGUGGCAGAGGCUGGCAGCUGUGGCUCUGAUUUGACCCCUAGCCUGGGAACUUCUAUAUGUCUCACCUGCGGCCCUAAAAAAAUAAAUAAAUAAACCCCUUUAAAACA